GACGAACGCUGGCGGCGUGCUUAACACAUGCAAGUCGAACGGAAAGGCCCUGCUUUUGUGGGGUGCUCGAGUGGCGAACGGGUGAGUAACACGUGAGUAACCUGCCCUUGACUUUGGGAUAACUUCAGGAAACUGGGGCUAAUACCGGAUAGGAGCUCCUGCUGCAUGGUGGGGGUUGGAAAGUUUCGGCGGUUGGGGAUGGACUCGCGGCUUAUCAGCUUGUUGGUGGGGUAGUGGCUUACCAAGGCUUUGACGGGUAGCCGGCCUGAGAGGGUGACCGGCCACAUUGGGACUGAGAUACGGCCCAGACUCCUACGGGAGGCAGCAGUGGGGAAUAUUGCACAAUGGGCGGAAGCCGGAUGCGGCAACGCCGCGUGCGGGAUGACGGCCUUCGGGUUGUAAACCGCUUUCGCCUGUGACGAAGCGUGAGUGACGGUAAUGGGUAAAGAAGCUCCGGCUAACUACGUG
This 468-nucleotide ribosomal RNA is filed under the name uncultured bacterium. RNAcentral's name for it is "partial 16S ribosomal RNA". It matches the Rfam family "Bacterial small subunit ribosomal RNA", at positions 28 to 507 of the family's 1533-position model. The record is from RNAcentral.